CCUCCUUAUGAGGCCAGACCGUACGUACUUGCCUCAGCCAAUAGUAUAUGACGAUCAUCACCCAGUGCCCAAUCACUGCACCAUAUACUGCCAUGUUCCAGAAGGAGUUGCAUGUGGUUCCAGAGGGAGUUGCAUGUGGUUCAAGAGUGAGUUUUAUGUGGUUCCAGAGUGAGUUUUAUGUGGUUUCAGAGUGAGUUGCAUGUGGUUUCAGAGUGAGUUGCAUGUGGUUUCAGAGUGAGUUUUAUGUGGUUUCAGAGUGAGUUUUAUGUGGUUUCAGAGUGAGUUGCAUGUGGUUUCAGAGUGAGUUUUAUGUGGUUUCAGAGUGAGUUUUAUGUGGUUUCAGAGUGAGUUUUAUGUGGUUCCAGAGUGAGUUUUAUGUGGUUCCAGAGUGAGUUUUAUGUGGUUUCAGAGUGAGAUGCAUGUGGUUCCAGAGUGAGUUUUAUGUGGUUCCAGAGUGAGUUGCAUGUGGUUUCAGAGUGAGUUGCAUGUGGUUUCAGAGUGAGUUGCAUGUGGUUUCAGAGUGAGUUGCAUGUGGUUUCAGAGUGAGUUGCAUGUGGUUUCAGAGUGAGUUUUAUGUGGUUUCAGAGUGAGUUUUAUGUGGUUUCAGAGUGAGUUUUAUGUGGUUCAAGAGUGAGUUUUAUGUGGUUUCAGAGGGAGUUGCAUGUGGUUCAAGAGUGAGUUUUAUGUGGUUUCAGAGUGAGUUCCAUGUGGUUUCAGAGUGAGUUGCAUGUGGUUU
This is a long non-coding RNA of Clupea harengus (Atlantic herring), 736 nucleotides long. The record is from Ensembl. Lineage: Eukaryota; Metazoa; Chordata; Actinopteri; Clupeiformes; Clupeidae.